This is a long non-coding RNA of Cucurbita moschata (crookneck pumpkin), 445 nucleotides long. RefSeq lists it as uncharacterized. The record is from RefSeq and is a predicted model, not a curated record. NCBI's taxonomy places the organism in Eukaryota, Viridiplantae, Streptophyta, Magnoliopsida, Cucurbitales, Cucurbitaceae. The transcript is spliced from 2 exons.
UGAGAUUCCGUGUAAGGGUGUAGAAACCUCUCUCAAGCAUACGCGUUUUAAAAACUUAAAGGGAAAGCCUAACAAUAUUGGUUAGCAGUGGACGGACUUGGGCGGUUACAAAUAGUCCUUGAAAUUUAAUUCUAGAGCCCCAUAAUCAUAAUUGACUCACCUAAUUUUACAUAAAAAUAAUUUAAACAAACUAAAAAGUAGUUAUACUAACUUUAAAUGCUUCCAACUAGUUGAAACUAAGACGGAAGAAGUCAAGGAUCCCCUCAACAAGUAAAUAUCCUUUUCAAUUGUCUCAGAAGGAAGAAUUGAAACAGAUGAUAGACAAAAGCUAAAGGAUUAGAGAUCGACUCAAUAAAUGAAAUGCUUAAACUUAAGAGUUGUAUUCCUUUGAGUGAGAGUUAUACAACUUGUGUUACGAGGAUAAGAACAAAUUUUUUUUUCCCAA